GAUCUAUUAGUUCAGUUGAUUAGAGCGUCGUACUAAUAAUGCAAAAGUUACAGGUUCGAUUUCUGCAUGGACCA
This is a non-coding RNA of Glycine max (soybean), 74 nucleotides long. Lineage: Eukaryota; Viridiplantae; Streptophyta; Magnoliopsida; Fabales; Fabaceae. The record is from Rfam.